AUGGAUGAGUUCGAGCCCGAGUGUGUGGGCGCGUUGGUGAGCAUAGUGGUAGCCAUGGACGAGUUUGAGCCCGAGCGUGUGGGUGCGUUGGUGAGUGCGGUGGCAGCGGCGGUCGUCCCCGAGCUCGAGCCCGAGCGUGGCGGCGCGUUGUUGAGAAUGGCGACGGCCUGGCCAUGGCCGAGCUCGAAUGUCUCGUUCUCCGAUGACUCAUGCGCAUGCCAUUUUCUUGAUUUGGCCCGUUCCCCUCUCUGCUCUGCUCUGCUUUGCUUUGUCCGCAUAUCUCCUCUGGUCGGCUCCGAUGUGUUUUUCCUGAUUUGGGUGUUCGCGAGAGAUGGGAAACUGCCGCGUGACGCCGCCGGCGGCGCCGGGAUGCAGCAGAAGGAGCCGAAGCAAAGGAAGGUCAAGAAGCCCAACCCCUUGUCGCUCGAGUACAGCCGGUCGGGGGCCUGUGCUGCGGGAGCCGGGAGGCCACGACACGUCGCUGGGAGGUACGAGCUGGGCGGUGAGCUAGGCCGCUGGGAGUUCAGGGUCACAUACCUCUGCACGGACCACGCCACCAGGGACGCCCUCGCCUGCAAGUCCAUCUCCAAGAAGAAGCUCCACACCGCGGUGGACAUUGAGGACGUGCGCCGCGAGGUCGAGAUCAUGCGCCACCCCCAAGCACCCCAACAUCGUCACCCUCAUGGACACGUACAAGGAUGA
This 702-nucleotide ribosomal RNA is filed under the name Triticum aestivum (bread wheat). RNAcentral's name for it is "partial small subunit ribosomal RNA". Lineage: Eukaryota; Viridiplantae; Streptophyta; Magnoliopsida; Poales; Poaceae. The record is from RNAcentral.